This 888-nucleotide ribosomal RNA is filed under the name uncultured rumen bacterium. Its description in RNAcentral is "bacterial SSU rRNA". It matches the Rfam family "Bacterial small subunit ribosomal RNA", at positions 505 to 1397 of the family's 1533-position model. The record is from RNAcentral.
GUGCCAGCAGCCGCGGUAAUACGGAAGGUCCAGGCGUUAUCCGGAUUUAUUGGGUUUAAAGGGAGCGCAGGCUGAUGAUUAAGCGUGACGUGAAAUGUAGCCGCUCAACGGCUGAACUGCGUCGCGAACUGGUUAUCUUGAGUGAGUUCGAUGUUGGCGGAAUUCGUGGUGUAGCGGUGAAAUGCUUAGAUAUCACGAAGAACUCCGAUUGCGAAGGCAGCCAACAAGGCCUUUACUGACGCUAAAGCUCGAAGGUGCGGGUAUCGAACAGGAUUAGAUACCCUGGUAGUCCGCACGGUAAACGAUGGAUGCCCGCUGUUUGCGAUAUACUGUGAGCGGCCAAGAGAAAUCGUUAAGCAUCCCACCUGGGGAGUACGCCGGCAACGGUGAAACUCAAAGGAAUUGACGGGGGCCCGCACAAGCGGAGGAACAUGUGGUUUAAUUCGAUGAUACGCGAGGAACCUUACCCGGGCUUGAACUGCCAGCGAACGAUUCAGAGAUGAUGAGGCCCUUCGGGGCGCUGGUGGAGGUGCUGCAUGGUUGUCGUCAGCUCGUGCCGUGAGGUGUCGGCUUAAGUGCCAUAACGAGCGCAACCCUUUUCUUUAGUUGCCAUCAGGUAAUGCUGGGCACUCUGGAGAUACUGCCACCGUAAGGUGUGAGGAAGGUGGGGAUGACGUCAAAUCAGCACGGCCCUUACGUCCGGGGCUACACACGUGUUACAAUGGGAGGUACAGAGAGUCGGAUAUACGUAAGUAUGUUCUAAUCCUUAAAGCCUUCCUCAGUUCGGAUUGGGUCUGCAACCCGACCCCAUGAAGCUGGAUUCGCUAGUAAUCGCGCAUCAGCCAUGGCGCGGUGAAUACGUUCCCGGGCCUUGUACACACCGCCCGU